This 453-nucleotide long non-coding RNA is filed under the name Triticum aestivum (bread wheat). Its description in RNAcentral is "long non-coding RNA (TAES_LNC017825)". Lineage: Eukaryota; Viridiplantae; Streptophyta; Magnoliopsida; Poales; Poaceae. The record is from RNAcentral.
UGAAGCUGUCUUCGUGGCUAGCAAGAAGCGGAUUUCUUGUGAUUUGUGCUUGUCCUGAAGCAUAUCUUUUGCUUCCAGGGCAGGCAUCUUUACCUCUGUUAUUCCAGCUGCCAUUUAGUUUUGCCCCAUUGACUGAUGGUUGUAAUGGAUAGUGACUCUGGAGUUAUGCAUAAUUAAACGCCUCUUGCCAGGCGUUAAGUACUGGUCUUGUGAAGCACUACUUCUGCUUCAAAAUCAGGCUUUACCUCUUUUUCUAGCUGCUAUUUAUAGUGUAUGCCAUUCAUUUUUGUUUCUGAUGGAUAACUGAAAAAUCGUCUUGAUGGACUUGUGAGAUUAUCUAAUUUCGUCUCGAUGCUCUUACAGAAGUCCUCGUGCUUUGUUUGUGCUCUGAGACUUGGAUAUGGAGCGUAAUUUAACUUGGACUACAACUAAUUGUUGCAGAUUAGAUUAGUA